GAUUCCGAGAAUGAAGUGGUCCCUGGAGCCCUGCUGGCAGGACGGACCAGGGACGGACCAGGGAUAUUGAAUGAGUCACAAAUAGCUCCCCAACUCACGGAUUAGCACUGUUGCUUUCCUCAGCGUGAGGUCUUCCCCCUGAGAAUGAUUUACGUAUGACUGCACCCACAAUCAUUUUUCUGUGACUCCUCUGUGACUUUCAUCAGGAUCGUUUCCACCACUCUGGAUGAAACCAUCAGAGUUGUUCAAACCAGGGGAACAGGCCACUCUGAACCAAAUGUACUUUCAUAUCCUGUCCUAUAGUGUUAACAGCUGCUUGCUGAUAAGAAAAAUUCAGCAAUUCUCCCUCUUCCUUAUUUUCUCUCACUGUACUUCACAUAAUGUUUUAAGAAUCUACAUAUAGGCUACAGUACCAUUAGUAGUUAUCCCUUGUGUGAUCUAAGACUGAUAUACAGUCAAUACACACAGAUCUUGCUUUUAAUCAUAUAGUCAUGAUAAUAGAGGUUUAUACAUUUUUCGACUUUAUGUAAACAACAUGUCUUAUUUAUUUAUCAGUUGAUUUACUUAUUGGCAGGGUGAGGGUUAUUGGCCUGACCUGUGUACAGCAGUAUGUCUAGCUACUAUUUUAUGUCUGGUGAAGCUGGGUAAAGUGACUUGGAAUAACCCAAAAACCAAAGAGACAAUGUGUUACAGCUCUCAUAGCUUAUAUUUUGUAUUACAGCAUAAAACUGCAGACCCCUUGAAAAUAAAUUCUUUUAAUAUUUUAUUGAUGAACAACAAAGAGUGUCAAGUGAGCCAAGUUUUGAACGAACAGUAGGUUUUCUGACUAGCACCCGACAACUGGGUGACUGUACUGUACAAGGCUGACAUCUCAACAAACAACUAUUACAUCAUGAUUUUACAUUAAUUACAAUUAUAACUCUAGAAUUAAUUAUUAUCACUGAAUGAACUUGGAUGGGUUCAGAUGUUCAUUCAGCACCCGAACAAUCACGUGAUGUUUCAUUCGAGAAUGGACCAAAGCAUGUCUGACAUUAUUGGGAUGGUGAUAGGUAAUUAUUCUGUCCUUUUUUCAGUUUAUGAUGAAAUGUUUGCACACGUCUUUAGUUGCUGUGAUCACAAUCAUUUAAAAAUCAGGCUUGUGCAACAUUUAAGAGGAUUAAAUUUAAAGUGUUUCCUUGUAAACGAGGGCUCUGGCUCUGCCUAUCAGCUUUUGGAUGGUCUGUAUCAGUUGUCUCCAUCACAUUAAAUGAGUGUUUACACUGUAUAUGUAAAGCAGAUUGGCUCAAAUCUUAUCUGAAUGACAAUACAAACUCUGAAUAGUUCCAUGUUUGGCCUUUUGUCUUAGUAUAGCUUGUGUUUCCAUCCUCCUCUGUUCAGUUCGACAAAGUGCAUGCAAGUGUUUACAAAAUGAAACUUACUGAAUUUAUGAUAAAUAACAUGAUUUAUAGAAUAAGCAAGCUUUCUUUUUAGCUGCAGAGUCAUUGAAGAAACAGCAAGUGUUUAUCUUCCGAGUUCCUUUUGCAUGCAUAUGUAUGUGCACCACAGCACUGCAUGGGUAACAAACAGGAAGGAAGGUCACCUCCCACUGAUGUUUGCUGUGUAGCACAGUGGUCCAGAUGUUACAACAGAAACUUUGAGCAACAGUAAUCCCAAGAGCGUCAGACAGUAUCUGGAAGCUGUUUUAAUUAAGACACAUCAAGGCAAGGACUAUUUUUCACAAUGGCCCACUUUAGCUGCAGGCUGUCAGCCCCAGUCUGCGCUCCCAACGCUGAGCCAACAGGUGCAGGCAGGCAGACUGAGCGCGCAGGCUGGAUGAGUCUGUCAAAGACAGAUGUGUGACAGAGAAGCCAUAACAGAGUUACAGGUCAGAAGAUGCAGUGAUGCAGUGUAUUUGGAAAUGGAGAAGUUGUUAUACUGUGUGUAAGCACCAUUUUUCGCACAGUAUUAAACUACAUCUGUUAACAGUGACAUGAUCACUGAGCUCAAUAUUUUUUACGUAUGUUGAAUCCGUGAUUGACAUAACAUCCUUUUCCAGUGCUGGGUGGGUGGAGAUGUCACUGGACUAAAAGUUAAUAUGAUCUUAAUGCAAGUAUGGAAGCAAAGUAGGUCCAUAAUUAAAGAAACUGGUGAUGCAAGAUUAUUAUUUCACUGUGUUGUAGCCUCAUCAAUAUCAAUUAUAUGUGUUAUAUGUAUUGUUGAUACACCCGCCUAUAAAGAGAACUGAACUGACUUGA
Long non-coding RNA from Seriola aureovittata, 2234 nucleotides. RefSeq lists it as uncharacterized. NCBI's taxonomy places the organism in Eukaryota, Metazoa, Chordata, Actinopteri, Carangiformes, Carangidae. The transcript is spliced from 2 exons. The record is from RefSeq and is a predicted model, not a curated record.